AUUACUAUUGUCAGAUAUGUCCUCAAAAUCACCAAUAGUCAAUAGGCACAACAGUUUGGGGACAUGUCCUCAAACUAACCGUUUCCCAAAAAAAAAGUUUGAGGACGGUCCCCAAACUUGACUAAUGUCCUCAAACUCACCAUUAAGUAACCGAUACUGUCCCCAAACUUUACGAGUUACAUAUAUAUAUAUAUAUAUAUAUAUGUAUAAUAAAAAAAAUUGUUCAUAAGAUCAAUUUUUUUUUCUUACAAGUAAUGGGGGAAUGUAACGUUGAGUGAUACUCAUCGUCACUUUAUAAUAUGCAUUUCAAAAUAUUUAUUAGGAAAAGCAACUCCCAAUAAGUAUGCAACCAAAUAUACUUCAGCGUGUAGUAGGUAUUGCCUAGAUUUUAAUAAGUAUUUGGACAAAGUUGGUGACUUUUAGGGGAAUUCGUAAUCUAGAAGUUGGUCCGUGUGUCGAUACGGCUUCCGGCUGACGUGUUUGUCAUUGCUUCGGGGAGAGCAGGCCAGCACUUAAUUUUCAACUCUUGUACAGAAGACAUCUGAUCUCCCGAUCUCCGGUGGCCAUUGCCAGAAUUUACCUUUUAGUUGAAAAAGUUAUAAGAUUAAUUUACGUUGGAGGAAGUUUUUAUUUUGUUUUGGGUUUUGUGAAGAGUUUGAGGAGAAGAGUUUUUGUUUCCAAUACUUUUUUGAAGAGCAAUGGCCACUGGAGAAAAAGGAAAUUAAGUCACCAUUUUUGUUUUUGUUGGAUAUGGAAUAAGCAAUCAGUUUGGGGUUUCUUUUGGUGUGGAUUGGGAUUUUAUGUUUUUUUGGAAUCAACAUUGAUUUUUACCGGUACUAGUAAGUACCUCCUCAUCGGACCAUCCGUAUUGUGGUUGAGUAUCUCCCCAGGAUUGGAAACCGGAGGAUACCUACCUGGCUCUCCCAUCGUCAACCUCUCAAGGAGUUUGGAGAAGCCUCCGUCCCUACUUUUGUAGAAGCGACAGGUUUUUAUUAUAAAAUAUACAUUUUCAAUUCUUUUAAAUAACUGCUUGCAAUAUUAAUAUUUUUUCCAAUAAAUUAGAAAUAACCUUAAUAAUCAUAUAAACUCAUUUUUUCUAAAAUCACCAUUUGUAAUAUUCAAUCAUUUUUUUUUCAACAAGUUUUAUCGUUCACUGUUCGUACCAUUCAUUUAAAAUAGUCCGGGAAUUAUAAACUAUAUGUUAAGGUGUUGUAUACAAUAUCUACGGUUUUAAUUCCUAUUUAAUAACCUUUAUUUCAGUUAACAGGUAUGGUACUCAGGGUUAUCACUUAGGUCAGAUACGAGAUUGUCAACCAAUACUGUAACCAAUAUCCAUAAUACAUUUUUGUUUAAGUAAAUAACUUGUGAUUCCCAAUAACUGUCUUGAUCUAACUAAUUAAGUUCUUUGUUUUAAUUUUUAUUGCGAUCUCAUUGUCGACAGGAGCGUACUUUUCUAGUACAACAGGUACUGAUUAGCUAGUUUGUAUAAAAUUGUAUAUAGGGGUUAUAGGUUUUUUUUCAUUAAAUUUGUUGGUUGUACAUA
Molecule: long non-coding RNA, 1543 nt
Filed under: Diabrotica virgifera virgifera (western corn rootworm)
Lineage: Eukaryota; Metazoa; Arthropoda; Insecta; Coleoptera; Chrysomelidae
Description: uncharacterized LOC126883862
Source: RNAcentral